Molecule: long non-coding RNA, 104 nt
Filed under: Numida meleagris (helmeted guineafowl)
Lineage: Eukaryota; Metazoa; Chordata; Aves; Galliformes; Numididae
Description: lncRNA (ENSNMEG00000003064.1)
Source: RNAcentral
UUUUUGGGGUGAAUUCUGGGGAUUUGGGGUUUUUUGGGAUUUUCUUGGGUUUUCGUUGGGUUUCGGUUGGGUUUUGUUGGGUUCUCGUUGGGUUUUUGUUGGGU